This 391-nucleotide ribosomal RNA is filed under the name uncultured bacterium. Its description in RNAcentral is "bacterial SSU rRNA". It matches the Rfam family "Bacterial small subunit ribosomal RNA", at positions 29 to 420 of the family's 1533-position model. The record is from RNAcentral.
AACGAACGCUGGCGGCGUGGAUAAGGCAUGCAAGUCGAACGAUCCCGCAAGGGAUAGUGGCAGAAGGGUUAGUAACGCGUGGGUAAUCUACCUUCAAGUGGGGGAUAACCUUCCGAAAGGAGGGCUAAUACCGCAUAACAUUGUUGUCGCGCAUGCGAUGAUAAUCAAAGAUGGCUCGUAAGGGCUGUCGCUAGAUGAUGAGCCCGCGUCCUAUCAGCUAGNGGUGGGGUGAUGGCCUACCAAGGCGACGACGGGUAGCCGGCCUGAGAGGGCGACCGGCCACACUGGGACUGAGACACGGCCAGACUCCUACGGGAGGCAGCAGUGGGGAAUCUUGCGCAAUGGGCGAAAGCCUGACGCAGCGACGCCGCGUGAGGGAUGACGGCCUGGU